RNAcentral lists this ribosomal RNA (560 nucleotides) under Arthrinium sp. PE122. Its description in RNAcentral is "eukaryotic LSU rRNA". The stretch from base 171 to 324 matches the Rfam family "5.8S ribosomal RNA". The record is from RNAcentral. Lineage: Eukaryota; Fungi; Ascomycota; Sordariomycetes; Amphisphaeriales; Apiosporaceae.
AACUCCCAUACCAUCUGUUAACCUACCCAGUUAUGCCUCGGCGUAAGCUCGGUUGGAGGCACCUGCAGCUACCCUGUAGUUGCGGACUGCCAACUCCAGCCGCGGCCCGCCGGCGGUACACUAAACUCUGUUUUAUUUUAUAUUCUGAGCGUCUUAUUUUAAUAAGUUAAAACUUUCAACAACGGAUCUCUUGGUUCUGGCAUCGAUGAAGAACGCAGCGAAAUGCGAUAAGUAAUGUGAAUUGCAGAAUUCAGUGAAUCAUCGAAUCUUUGAACGCACAUUGCGCCCAUCAGUAUUCUGGUGGGCAUGCCUGUUCGAGCGUCAUUUCAACCCUUAAGCCUAGCUUAGUGUUGGGAAUCUGCUGUACUGCAGUUCCUUAAAGACAGUGGCGGAGCGGCGGUAGUCCUCUGAGCGUAGUAAUUUAUUUCUCGCUUUUGUCAGGCUCUGUCCUCCCGCCAUAAAACCCCCAAUUUUUUAGUGGUUGACCUCGGAUCAGGUAGGAAUACCCGCUGAACUUAAGCAUAUCAUAGGCCGGAGGUACGGGGCCUGACUAAAGGCGA